Molecule: ribosomal RNA, 289 nt
Filed under: Cercomonadida environmental sample
Lineage: Eukaryota; Cercozoa; Cercomonadida
Description: partial 18S ribosomal RNA
Rfam family: Eukaryotic small subunit ribosomal RNA (bases 106-289)
Source: RNAcentral
GAUUUCUGGUUUAAUGCACCUGGCCCGCGGCCACUAGGCUUGUGAGUGCCGGCGCGCGUUUACCAUCCUUCUAGAAAACGUUUCUGCCAUUAACUUGGUUGGGAAUGCGAUCUAGAUCUUUUACUUUGAAAAAAUUAGAGUGUUUAAAGCAGGCUUUUGCUAUGAAUACAUUAGCAUGGAAUAAUAAUAACUGAAGUAAUGAUUGAUAGGGAUAGUUGGGGGUGCUAGUAUUGGCCGGCCAGAGGUGAAAUUCUUGGAUUCGGUCAAGACUAACUUAUGCGAAAGCAUU